GGAGAGGUGCCAGAGUGGUCGAAUGGGGCGGUCUCGAAAACCGUUGAACGUGCAAACGUUCCGAGGGUUCGAAUCCCUCUCUCUCCGCCA
Molecule: transfer RNA, 90 nt
Filed under: Alphaproteobacteria bacterium MarineAlpha3_Bin5
Lineage: Bacteria; Pseudomonadati; Pseudomonadota; Alphaproteobacteria
Also listed under: 1 other name
Description: tRNA-Ser
Rfam family: tRNA
About the family: Transfer RNA (tRNA) molecules are approximately 80 nucleotides in length.
Source: RNAcentral